Molecule: RNA transcript, 2615 nt
Organism: Cucumis sativus (cucumber)
Lineage: Eukaryota; Viridiplantae; Streptophyta; Magnoliopsida; Cucurbitales; Cucurbitaceae
Gene name: probable galacturonosyltransferase 4
Exons: 11
Source: RefSeq, a predicted model, not a curated record
CUCUCAUUGCGCCAACCCCAACACAACACGCUCACGCUCUUUUCAUCAAAAUCAAAUUCCUUUCAUCUUCUUCUUCCUCUAUCCUCUUCCGCCAUUUUCUUUUUCUAAAUAAAGCUUUCUUUCUUCAACCUCAUCACUCUUUUCAUGUUCUUUACUCUUACCUACAAUACAGUUUCGCCCUAGCCAAAACCUAUCUUAUAUUUCCAUUAUUCCAUCCCUUUUCCCUCUGUCCUUACUUUCUGAUCCGUUCUUUGAAGACGCGUGUCCUUUCUUUGCCUUAUCGAUCCAGCCGGUGGACUCUGGAUUUGUUAUUACUCUGCGUAUUUCGUGUUUUCAUGAAAAAUGCUGAUCAGAAAUCUGGUGGCCUUGAUGCUCUUUUUCACGGUUAUUGCUCCGAUUUUGCUUUACACUGAUCGCCUCGCCUCUCUUAAGUUCUCAUCUAAGGGCGAUCUUGUUGAAGGUUUUGCAACUUCUGGUUUCAAUAGCAACUACGGGCAUCUGAAUCUUGUUGAUGGGAAAUCUUCAUCAAGCGUAAAAGAGCCCGUUGCGAUUGUUUACUCCGACAACAAGUUGCUUACAGAUUCAGGUGCUUCGGAUUGGCAGAGCAAUGACGGCAUCCAAGGUGUCAUAGAGCGUAAAUCUACUCGAGUAUUGUCCACAACUGAUGACGAAGGUCUUUCUCAAAAUGAGAAUCCCAUUAAACAAGUUACGGACCCCAUUGGGCUGCCAAAUGUCAUUUCAGGGAAUCCCAAUAGUACCAGUGAAAAGAACAGCGAAGUUGAUCCUAACGUCAAACAGGAGCAGUCAGCCACUCAAACUUCUGAAAAAACUGAUGGGGGGGAAAUAGUAAAAUCGAGAGUCGAACAAGACAGUGUUCAAGUUGCUCAUACUAAUGCUCGGGUAAGACAUCUAAAGGACCAGCUCAUUAGGGCCAAAGUUUACCUCUCGCUUCCAGGCACUAGGAACAAUCCCCACCUUACAAGAGAACUUCGACUGAGGAUAAAAGAAGUUCAACGAACGUUAGGUGAUGCAAGCAAGGAUUCUGAGCUACCUAAAAAUGCCCAUGAGAGAUUGAAAACGAUGGAGCUAACCUUGGCAAAAGGGAAACAAGCUCAGGAUGACUGUUCUACCGUAGUAAAGAAACUACGAGCUAUGCUUCACUCAACUGAAGAGCAGUUACGAGUGCACAAGAAACAAGGCCUGUUUCUAACACAGUUAACAGCCAAAACACUUCCUAAAGGCCUUCAUUGCCUUCCUUUGCGCCUGACAACUGAAUACUAUUCUCUGAAUUGGUCCCAACAGCCUUUCCCAGGUCAAGAGAAACUUGAAGAUCCAGACCUGUAUCAUUAUGCAUUAUUCUCAGAUAAUGUAUUGGCAGCAGCAGUAGUUGUUAACUCAACAAUUACUCACGCAGAGGAGUCUUCAAAACAUGUUUUUCACAUUAUUACAGAUAGACUCAACUAUGCAGCAAUGAGAAUGUGGUUUCAAGCAAAUCCACCUGACAAAGCUACAAUUGAGAUUCAGAAUAUUGAAGAGUUUACAUGGUUAAAUGCCAGUUAUAGUCCAGUUCUUAAGCAGUUGGGUUCUUCAACCAUGAUAGAUUAUUACUUCCGGUCUCAUCGGGCUAGCUCUGAUUCAAAUAUGAAGUUCCGGAAUCCAAAGUACUUGUCCAUCUUGAACCAUCUACGAUUUUACCUCCCACAGUUAUUCCCGAAGCUCAAAAAGGUUUUGUUCCUGGAUGAUGAUAUAGUUGUGCAGAAAGAUCUCACGGGACUUUGGUCCAUUGAUUUGAAAGGAAAUGUUAAUGGUGCUGUUGAGACUUGUGGAGAAAGCUUUCAUCGGUUUGAUAGAUAUCUCAAUUUCUCAAACCCUCUCAUCUCCAAGAGUUUUGACCCUCAUGCCUGCGGCUGGGCAUAUGGUAUGAAUAUCUUUGAUUUGGAUGAAUGGAAGAGGCAGAAUAUUACGGAGGUGUACCACUCCUGGCAGAAGCUGAAUUACGACAGACAAUUGUGGAAGCUGGGGACAUUACCACCGGGUCUCAUCACAUUUUGGAAACGCACUUAUCAGCUCGACAAAUCCUGGCAUGUUUUAGGUCUAGGAUACAAUACUAAUGUUGGGCAGAAGGAAAUUGACCGAGCGGCCGUCAUACACUAUAACGGGAACAUGAAGCCAUGGCUUGAGAUAGCCAUACCCAAGUACCGAAAUUAUUGGACAAAGCAUGUUGAUUUUGACAAUGUAUAUCUAAGAGAAUGCAACAUUAAUCCAUAAAUGGUCCUUGUGGACUCCUAGUUUCCUCCAUGAUUUUAACAUCCACAAUAGUUUUCCAGAAUCUGCUUAACCAAAUCCUUUUAACAAGUCGCAAGUUCAACUUUCGGAUAAGAUCUCCAUAACUUCUUUGAGACAGAUGGGGUUGGAUGGGUUAAACUCAUGGACAAUAGACUAAAACCAAGCCAAAAUUCCGAGGUAUUAUUUGUCUUUAUGUGUUUGUGUAAAUUUAAUUAAUCCUUUGGACAAAGCUAACUUGUGUAUGGCUUAACUAGUUAACAUGUAUCCUCUCGACCCAGAUGUCAAAAUUUGAUAUUGUCCUUAUGAAUUUAUGUGACUAAUUUGUAUUA